AGUGAACGCUGGCGGUAGGCCUAACACAUGCAAGUCGAACGGCAGCACAGUAAGAGCUUGCUCUUACGGGUGGCGAGUGGCGGACGGGUGAGGAAUACAUCGGAAUCUACUUUUUCGUGGGGGAUAACGUAGGGAAACUUACGCUAAUACCGCAUACGACCUACGGGUGAAAGCAGGGGAUCUUCGGGCCUUGCGCGAUUGAAUGAGCCGAUGUCGGAUUAGCUAGUUGGCGGGGUAAAGGCCCACCAAGGCGACGAUCCGUAGCUGGUCUGAGAGGAUGAUCAGCCAAACGGGAACGGAAACACGGUCCAGACCCCAACGGGGGGCAGGAGGGGGGAAUUUUGGAAAAGGGGCGCAAGCCUGAUCCAGCCAUACCGGGGGGGUGAAGAAGGCCUUGGGGUUGAAAACCCCUUUUGUUGGGAAAAAAAAGCAGCAGGUUAAUCCCCCGCUGUUCGGACGGUACCCAAAAAAUAAGCACCGGCGAACUUCGU
This 491-nucleotide ribosomal RNA is filed under the name uncultured bacterium. Its description in RNAcentral is "partial 16S ribosomal RNA". It matches the Rfam family "Bacterial small subunit ribosomal RNA", at positions 29 to 506 of the family's 1533-position model. The record is from RNAcentral.